GGACAAGUGAAUAAGUGCACAUGGUGGAUGCCUUGGCGAUUACAGGCGAUGAAGGACGUAGUAGCUUGCGAUAAGCUGCGGGGAGUGAGCAAACACACUUUGAUCCGCAGAUUUCCGAAUGGGGAAACCCGGCCCUUUGGGUCAUCGUUAUCUGAAUACAUAGGGUAACGAAGCGAACGCGGCGAACUGAAACAUCUAAGUAGCUGCAGGAAAAGAAAUCAACCGAGAUUCCCAAAGUAGUGGCGAGCGAAAUGGGAUGAGCCUUGUACG
Molecule: ribosomal RNA, 270 nt
Filed under: Massilia norwichensis
Lineage: Bacteria; Pseudomonadati; Pseudomonadota; Betaproteobacteria; Burkholderiales; Oxalobacteraceae
Description: partial 23S ribosomal RNA
Rfam family: Bacterial large subunit ribosomal RNA
Source: RNAcentral